This is a long non-coding RNA of Ailuropoda melanoleuca (giant panda), 248 nucleotides long. RefSeq lists it as uncharacterized. NCBI's taxonomy places the organism in Eukaryota, Metazoa, Chordata, Mammalia, Carnivora, Ursidae. The transcript has 2 exons. The record is from RefSeq and is a predicted model, not a curated record.
CCCUUUUUGUUUUAAACUCCAGGAUGAGAAUUAUUGAAUUUCCUGAGUUGCUUUGCAUUUCUGGAUUCCUAACUCUGAACUUUUGAUUUUUUUUCCCCCACAGAGCUGAGAAAACAGAAGUCCUCAGUGAAGAUCUGUUACAGAUCGAGCGGCGCCUGGACACGGUUCGGUCAAUGUGCCACCAUUCGCACAAGCGUGUGAUGGCAUGUUUCCAGGGCCAGCAUGGCACCGACACUGAAAGAAGAUAC